Molecule: long non-coding RNA, 3580 nt
Filed under: Salmo salar (Atlantic salmon)
Lineage: Eukaryota; Metazoa; Chordata; Actinopteri; Salmoniformes; Salmonidae
Description: lncRNA (ENSSSAG00000085947.1)
Source: RNAcentral
AUUUGGAGAAUGUGAGUUAUGUCCAUACACAUUACAAAUUAUGAAAAUAGCAGUCAAGUUUAACAGUUACUAUGACCCAUCUCCCAUCUUGUGAAGAUGUGGAUUCUCGAACGUCACCUUUAAACUUGUGAAUAAGUGUCAAAACACCAGCAGAAUGACUUGAUCCAUGACUGAAAUAGGCCAUAUCUCCCCAUUGUGAUUUCCAAAAUUUCAAAUCACUUUCACCCGAAUGAGAUUCCUGAAGAAGGACAAAAUCUGCGUUACUGCGUUUACAAUAUAAAAAUAAAGCUUUCCUUUUUGUAAGAUCUCUCAAAUCCCUAGCAUUCAGACUAACGAUAUUGAGUGAGUUGAAAACGAACUCCUGCGUUAAAAAAGAAAGAACACAAACUAGAUAACAGAAGUAGUAAUGUGAACAAUAAAACAAACAGUGAACCUUCAGAGGAUUACUCUGACGGAAAACUACGCUCAGCUGAGGUAGCGGUGGUUAACAGUAUAACAAAUCUAUUUACUUCCUUUUUUUUCCAGUUGGCAAGUGUUCAUCAGUUGUAGUUCGAACGGUACAUUUACUUGUGUCGGUAAAUUAACUGGACUCUUGGCAGUACUCACAGUUCCAGUUUGGUUAAUGUCAACAGAGUUACCCAGUAAUCAUUCUUCCUUCGAUAAACGUGUGUGGGCCCUUGUACCCAGCCUUCUUUCCCUCUUGUCGUGCCUUCUGUAUAAGAGGCCACAGUUUCUCCCUGGCAGUCUGAUCCUGCGGUAUCAGAGCUGCUUUGAUGCGGAGCUACUUCUCGUCCAGAAACGUGUUCCCUUUGGCCAUUCUCCAGAUGAUGUCCCUGUAAUGGCGCAGAGUUAAGCGCAAUAUGAUAUUGCGAGGGGGUCCAUCAGAUCUUCGUUUCCCAAGUCGAUGUACCACAAUCACAUCUCUUAGCCUGUAUUUGAUGCACGAAGCCACCUUUCCCAGGAUAUGAAUGACCGCUUCCCUAAUAUCCUCUCCCUCUACCUCUUUUACACCUUGGAUUUUCAGAUUCCACCUGCGACAGUACCUUUGACGUUCAGCUACAUUCUCACACAGCUCAUUAUUUUGGGAUUGCAGUUUCUUCAACUCAUUCUCUAGGAACGUUAUCUUUUCCAAAUUAUCGAUCAGAUUUGAAGUUUCUUCGGUAGCCCGCUCUAUGGUGGACACUUUGGAGAGCGUGGCGUCUAUUUUAGUAGACAGGGACUGGAUUGCAGAGAAAAGUUCAGACAUGGAAAUGGCCUCUUACUUUUUUCACCGGUGGAUUUUUAAUUGGGGUCUGGGGUAAAGAGGUUGCAAGGAUUUCAUCCUGGUCAGUUUUGUUCUUUCUCUUGCUUGAGGUCGAGGCUUAUUGAGUAUCCAUGCUGAUCUGGUUCUCGUUGUGGCUAGCUAGCAUGUCUGCCGUCUUCUGUGAGACUUGGAUAUUCCGUCUACUAUUGUCUUUCUGUCGUGUUCUUCCCAUUCAACUUUACAAAAACGAACUCUAAACUUAUCCUAUGUUGCUAAAACAAGUUAUGGUUAGUUUAUUUCAAAAUUGAUAGCCAAUAUUAGACUGUUAACCACCUAACCCUCAAUGUUGCUUAGACGAGCGAGAAAACACUCCCUCUCACAGCGACCCCAUCUUGGCUCCCCUGAGAUGGUGAUGUGAGUACUUCAGGUGAUGCUUCUUGCGUGACGUGUAAUCUAAUGGACGGGAGGUUUCUUCAACAACGACAACAGAUUCAACUACGCGGUAGCUUGCAAUCGAAAAUAAAACCGAAACAUUGAAGCGUUUAAGACCAGCCUUGUGUAUAUUACUCUUUGUGUUUUGAACAUAAUUUUGUUUACCUAUCAUCUAGUUAAUUUAAACGUAAUUUGUUUGUUAAAUUAGCAUAUGUGUUACAUUGAUACUGCACUAGGCCAAUCGCCUGGAACAUGAGCUCACUAAACUCGACGGAGAAAUAAACUCUGGUGAAAGGAGAGGAAGAAGCUUUCAGAAUGAAAAAGGAGGAAGAGGAGGCUAUCACAUUAAAAGAAGAAGAGGAUGAUAUUACAGUGAAAGAGAAAGAUGGGAAAGAGGUUGUCAGAGUGGAAAAGGAGGAGGUAGAAGCUUUCAGAAUCAAAAAGGAGGAAGAUGCGGUAACAUUGAAAGAAGAGGAAGAACCUUUUGGAGUAAAAGAGGAAGAGGAGGUUAUCUCAAUAAAAGAGGAGGAAGACGUUUUGGAAGUGAAAAAGGAGGAGGAGGCUGAAGAUCGGAUUACCACCAGAGAGAGACAUGACUAUUGUGGAUCUUCUGGGGAGCAUCAACAACAUCCUGAUGCUGACUAGACAGAGAAGUGUCUCUCCAGAUCAGAACACCAGAUUGUACAGCUUGGACAACGCUAGCCCUUCUGCCCUCCCAGAGUCCUCGUGUCGUGCCUCUCGCGGUAGCACCUUAAUGCUGGGUAUGAAGAGGUUGUCUGUGCUGCUGGUGGACUGCAGGAAAACAACGGGGCUGAGUGGAACUGUGAGAGGAGGAGAAGAGAAGAAAGGAUCAGAUUUAACUCAUCAAAGGGGGCAGCCAUUGGUGGUCCUGGGAGGGCAUUACCCAGCCCAGCCAAUCAUAAUUCAUUUUUCCCCACAAAAUGGCUUUAUUAUAGAGAGAAAUACUCCUCAGUUUCAUCAGCUGUCCAGGUGGCUGGUCUCAGACGAUGUGGACCUCCUGGGCUGACAUUGUUAUAAGUGGUCUGCGGUUGGAUGUACUGCCAAAUUCUCUAACACAACGUUGGAGGCGACUUAUGGUAGAUAAAUUAAUAUUCAGUUCUCUGGCAACAGGUCCGGUGGAUAUUCCUGCAGUCAGCAUGCCAAUUGCUGUUUUGUUGUUGUUGUUGUUUUGUUUCUAAAUGUCUGCGCAAGAGAGAAGGUGUGAUCGAGUUGUGAGAUGGUACUUUUGCACAUAACACUGUGACUGAGGAAAGGCACUACUCCCAAUAUAAGUGAACCCAAAAUCAAUGUAGUUCUCAUCAUAUUUGCGCCUCUUCGAUGGUCUAACGUUCAUGUCUGUUGUUCGGUGCUUUCCCGGGUAAAGGGGCAGUAGCUCUUCGGCUGCAUCAGAUUCACAACUGUUGUAGCUCCCUCCAGUAACCACGAGCACAACCGUUCCUUGAUUUUAACCUGCGGCUUUAUUCUGUAGCUUUAGUCAGAAUUAUCACCUAUCACUAUAAAGUAAAUGAAAAUACAGCACACUCUUACAACCUUCUUGUCUUAUGAGUGACUUAUUAGCUUGUGUUAGGGUUGAACUGGCUAUUUGUAUGCAUAACUUAAAUAAUAUACCGGGGAAGCUAUGCUACAAUAUUAAGUAUAUAAACUACGGGUAAAUUAACUGUUGAAGACAAGAAGAACUACAACCGGCAACAGGAAGUGCGUCACGACGCUGGGAUCAGCCUGCACGCCGACGACAGGAGGAGCAAGUUUAAACCACGCUCCUCCUCCCUCUGACAGGCCAGCAUUGGGCGGGAACUAUCACCGUCAGAGUAUAAAAAGAGAGAACAAUAGAAUGUGACGCGCUCUUCUCUGUCUGCCCUGCGUGGUGUCACAGCGAGACCGUAU